UGCAUCAGGCUAAAGGACAACGAGAUAAGAACAAUAUUGCUAGUUGCUAACAAAUGGCAGAUAAAAGAGCUCUUCUGGAUCCUGAUGAAGUGACAGCAUUCUACACAUUCCAGUGAGUUGAGAAAGUUUUCCUGAGAACAGCAGCUAUGUUACAUGUGAAGUACCACUAAACACGCGUAUCUCUGUGUUUUCAAAUUCCAGGAUAUUUGCCGGGAUUCCUCAGGGAGGAAUGACAUUUGAAGACCAGCUGAUAUGCAUGGGAGCACUCAGAAUGGAAAGUAGACCUGCUACUUUAAAAGGUUUUGCUUAAGAAUGGAAAAUACAAAAUUCAGGAGCUCUCCUCCUGUGUCACAGCCCUUUUUUCUGCCCUGUGAAUUACUCAUGGAUCUGGAAGAAUACUUAGAAAAAAAUAAAAAUAGCCAUGUGAAAAAGGCAUUCAAAUCUGGUUAUCUUAAUAUGUAAUCCAUCCUUGAAUAAGAAGAAUAAAUCAAAUGGAAAAUAUACUCAGAGAGCUGGUGUAAAUGUUUUAAUGGUCUGAGAUAGGGAGCCAAGAGCCCUUGUGAUAACAUCAACCUUGCCACCAGUUGACUACAUUGCCUUGGAAAAAUCAAUUUUGUUGUCCUUAUGUGUUUCUCCAUCAUCACAAUGAUUCCUGCCCAUGCCUUUUCCACACAAAGAUCUGUACAGAGAAAGUCAUCCCAUGCAAAAAUCUCUGCAAGGAAUUAAGAGCACCUGCCACUUCCAGAAUACUUACACAGAAUUAACAGCCGAUUGUCAGCGACAUCAAUAUCCUCCCCUCUUUAAUGAACUUUCAGAGGAAUUCCUGUAAAUAACAUCCUUUUGUGGCCAGGAAAUCCUUCAGCGCAUGACUCUGCGGACACUGAGAAGAGGGGAGCAGAGCUAGAAGCCAGAGCUCCUGCAGAGAGAACAAGCCCACGUGCAUAUGGCACUGGGAUCACCAGUCCCUAACGAUGCCACAUGGUCCAAGGGUCUAAACUUAAAGAUAUGGAAGGUUUACAACAAGCUGAGAGAAACUCACCUAUUUCUAUAAGGUAAAAAUGCCUUGCAAAAGAAAGCCAAUAUUAUCAGUCUGUGUGUUAAACAAGCGAACUAGAAGCUCAGAAAAAGCUGUACUCUGACGUGAAACACACACGUAAUUUCGCCUGAUUUCAGUGGGAGCUCUGGGUGUUAGAGGAAGACAUCAGCAGUGGAAUCAUUUCUAUCUUUGUUUUUAAUUGUUAUUAUUUUUGAUAGUAAUCUUAGAGACAAAAAAUCAGAAAUAUCCUACGUGUUCUACAGAGGAUACAGUUACAUAUAAUAAAUACUAUCUGCUUUUCUUGGAAAAUGGCAGUCUGCAGGGAAAAAGUCUUUUUUUAUAAUCAAAGCCAAAGAAUUAUUUUAGAUUUCUUUGUUUUGUUAAUAUCAUGAGGUAAUAUUACUGCUGUUUAAAAUUAUUAGGGUAAGACACUAGGAGUUUACAAGAAUAGGCAGUAGGAUGAUUAUUAGAAGGAUACUGCUGAUUUUAGAUUCAAGUUAGUUUUGUAAUAUGAAGGUUUUGUAAAACAUAAGCCUAAAAGAUGUCUUCUUAAAAUUUCAUUUACAAAGCAACUUUAAAUAUUGGUUAAACUUUGUUUUGUUUUCGGCUACUGCAGGAAAAUCUGCAAGUGAAACUUAAAUGAAAUAGGAACAAGGAUAAAAAAUUCUUCUAGCAUAAUCCAGUAAAAGGAAAGCAAGGAAACGGUGUAACUAAUGGUAAAACAAUGGAUUUUACAUCUUUUCAGUUGCAGCAAAAAUAAGAGAGGACUUUAGUGCUUCUUCUGAUUAACUGAAGUGUUAGUCUGGCAAUAUGCCUUGAAAGUAAUUAUGUGGAGACUAAUAGUACUUCUUAAAACAAUUCUAGACCUGAACAAUAAUGUCAGGUACUGUAGAUGACCUCUCUUAACUAUCUUGCCAUUCCUGUCUCUAGGUCCUGGGAUGACAGUUCACAAGGAAAUACUAUACACAGGAAUGUCAUGUACAUGAUGUAGGUCACAUGUGAGGCACCAAUGUAAAUCUCAUACAAGUACAGAACAGACUACUUACCACUCCCAGAAUAAGUAAAAUAUAAAUCAGCUCCUUUUUCAAAGGCUUGCCUAGUUUUUGACUGGACAAGGAAUCAAAGCACUUGUGGGAAAUGAAACCUAUUCUAAUUAAUCUGACUUCCAGUGAAGUGUUACAUACUUUAUGCUGAAAAAUAGCUCAUUAGGUUGCAAAAAUGUAAUAUGCUUGGACCUUGUACAAAGCAUCUGAGAAUGUCCCAUAUGACAUUCUUGUCUUUAAAUUGGUGAGAGAGGUAUUUCAUGGAUGGACCCCUCAGUGAGUAAGAAAGUGGCUGGAUGGCUGCACUCAAAGAGUUAUGGUCAAAUGAAGGCUGGUAACAAUUGGUGCUCCUCAGGGGUUGGUACUGGAACCAGUACUGCUGAACAUCUUUCUCAGUGACAUGGACAGUGGAACUGAGUGGACUCUCAGCAAGUUUCUGAGCAACACCAAGCUCUGUGGUGCAGUGGGCACGCUGGGGGGAAAGGAUGGACAGCUCUGAGAGGUGGGCUUGUGUGAAUCUCAAAAAGUUCAAUGAGACCAAGUGCAAGGUUGUCCACUUGAGGCAGGAUGAAUCCAAGCUCUAAUACAAGCCGGGUGGAGAAUGGAAAGGAAAUUUUCAACAGGAUGAGAGAGUUGGAGUUUUUCAGCAGGAGAAGAGGAUGCUCCAGGGUGACCUUUAAGCAGCCUACAAGUACCUAAAGGGGGCACAAGGAGAAAACUGCACAUGUAAAAAGAAAUAAUGGAAUAGAUGACUUCCAUAUUUUGCAGCUAAAACCAAUCACAAAAAUCUCUGCCCUAAAACCAAAAAAACAAACAAAGAAAAAACAAAGUACUUAACGCCAGAACGAGCAUGUGAGUUGGAACUGAAAGCAAGGCAACAAGGGUUGCUGGUGACUAAGGGACAGUCCAAGUAUAUCCAAAAAUGCAGUAAAUAUCUAUAACAGUUAAAGCUCACAACAAGAAUUUGUUUCCCACCAACUGAAGUAUGGACCUGCUGUAGCUGCAAACCCCGUCACUGCCUAAAGCAGUUGCUUCUCUUCUCUGUACAUACUGGCGACUUCCACAUCAACUCCCAUCCUCUUUGGAGAAGCUGCCUAAUAAUACCUGCAAGGCUAUCUGAACUGUAGAAGAAAAUAACAGCAACCUGCUCUUGUUUAUUCUCUGCUGUGUUCUAGUAAUAACAAAAUCACAACACUGUGUACAGUAAAUCAGGAGUAUAAAACUUCCUUAAAAAGAUGCCAAUACCUAAACUGUUUAUAUUGACAAAGGUAAUAGAAAAACAGUAUCAAACUUGCAUGUUUAUGUAACCUCCUGUUUUUAUCCAAGUGUUAAUGUUAUACUGUGGGCUUUUGCCUAAAGCAGAUAACGGUAAGGACUGAUUUCAUUGAUGAGUUCAAAAAGGCAGCAUUCACUGCUACUGAGGGUCUCCUCCUUGCAGCUGUUGCAGCGAUGGCUUGUACUUAAUGAAAUUUUCUCCCUCUUUCCUCUGAAAACUUAACACCUAUAAUUUAACAUUUAAAACACAGCCUCUAUUUAUGUAUCUCGAAGUUCAACAAAAAUUCACAUGCUCUGACAGCAUUUUAUUUCUCGUAACAAAAUCAUUAAAUUCAUGCAGCAACAACUGAACUGCUCCAUACACAGUAUAUAGUUAAAACUGCACAACUGAAGCCAAAAUAUGCACAGCUAAAAGGAAUGUUACAGGGGGGCCUCUCUUAGUGAACAAAGCAGGCUCAGUUUGGCUCUUUUUCCCUAGCGCUACCACAUCCGCACAUCGUUAGUUGGAAAAUUCCAGAUAUAUGCUGUAAUUUUUUGUGCUUUUUUUUCCCAGUACACUUGAGGCUUUAGUGUCCAGAUGCCAUUUUCCCCCCCUUAUCUGUCCCUGGUAGUUUGGGUCUUUGCCAGUUGUGGUCAACAAUUAAUACAGCAAAAGAAAAAUACAGUACACUCCCUGGCAACUGGCAGAGGCUCACAGGAAAUACCAAAUAAAAACUUUAUUAUGUAUUGUUUAACUAUUUUGUUUGCCUGUGGGCCACCCUGUUGUUGGUGUAAUUUAGAAAAGCAUGCUCCAUCUGGAUAAUCUGUGCGCAGGCUCAUUGUUCCCAGAAUCUGUCACGCACAAUCACUGCUUCAGCCUGUGGCCCUCUGCAGAAAGAAGCAAAGGCAUGGCAGCCCUCCAGCCUGCAUUCCUUUUCAUUAGACAACUUGUGACCAAAUGUUAGAAUAGAAGAGUAACCUUUUAAUAUUCAUGUAAUUAAUUUACUUUCCCCUUUAAUUAUAAACCUUCACGUGAAAAGAAGAAAAUAAAAAGACUUUCCUUCAUGAUUCUAUUCCAUUCCCCAUCCUUUCUGCUUGUUUUUUGGGACACGGAAGGUGCCAGGAGUAACACAUAGGUACCAGCACCCCUGAA
Tympanuchus pallidicinctus (lesser prairie-chicken) is the source of this 4486-nucleotide long non-coding RNA. RefSeq lists it as uncharacterized. Lineage: Eukaryota; Metazoa; Chordata; Aves; Galliformes; Phasianidae. The transcript has 3 exons. The record is from RefSeq and is a predicted model, not a curated record.